GCCUCUGUAGCUCAACGGACAGAGCGCCCGCUUGCGGAGCGGGAGGCACCAGGUUCGACUCCUGGUAGAGGCA
RNAcentral lists this transfer RNA (73 nucleotides) under Actinomadura alba. RNAcentral's name for it is "tRNA-Arg". It matches the Rfam family "tRNA". Rfam says of the family: Transfer RNA (tRNA) molecules are approximately 80 nucleotides in length. Their secondary structure includes four short double-helical elements and three loops (D, anti-codon, and T loops). The record is from RNAcentral. Lineage: Bacteria; Bacillati; Actinomycetota; Actinomycetes; Streptosporangiales; Thermomonosporaceae.